Molecule: long non-coding RNA, 2544 nt
Organism: Heterocephalus glaber (naked mole-rat)
Lineage: Eukaryota; Metazoa; Chordata; Mammalia; Rodentia; Bathyergidae
Source: Ensembl
GCCUCAGAGCCGCUUCCCGAGUCUGCAGCCUGGCCACAAAAUAAAUCACUCCUGGCCCGCUCCUGGGGAGCUGGCCCCACGGACGGUGGGCCUCGCUGGUUAAAAUGCCGCUGCCUGAGGUUGCGUCCACGGGGCUGUCCUUGGGGUCCACCCUUGGGGCUCUGUGUUUGGGGGGCCAUCCUUGGGUUCUGUCCAUGGGGCCCUGUCCAUGGGGUCUCAUUCCUGACCUGCACUUAGAGGGCAGGCAGUGGGGAUGUCUGCACCUCAGAAGCCGAGGCCGUCCCUGGUGGUCCCCAGGGCAGCUGAGCCCUCCCUCGUGCAGUGACAGUCCCGGAACAGGAAGAAGGCGCUCAACCCGGGAAGCUCCAGCCAAGAUCGUCAAAGAGCGCACCCAGCAGUGGCCAGCUCAGUCCCAUCAGAGAAACCCCGAUGGGCUCAUUCACAAUCCCUUUCACCGCUGCCCACUGGUGAGAAGCUUGGAAGGCCCAGCACCUAGCUCAGCACCCUGAGGCCAGCCGCUCCGCCCUCACUCCUGUCUGUACCAGCACCAGGCUGCAGUGUCCUGACACCUGGGGCUCGGCCCUGCCUCCUCGAAAGGGAAGAUCCGACUGCAGAGACACUUGGCCCUUCGGGAAAACGAGGACCCAACUGAUCCAUGUGAGCACAGGCUCAGCCAGCAGCUCACAGUAACCCGGCCUGAUCUCAGAGGUGAAUUGUGCAGAAAUCAAAAGGUGGUAUCUCUGUGGCGACUGGCGUUUCGUGUAAUUGGCACCGAUGGUCACGCAGCCCCCAGGGCUGAGGUCCCACAUGCUGCUGAUUUUGGUGAAAUCGAACAACUUGGCUGUGACCGCAGAGCGGCUGAACCGCGAGGGCCCAGGUGGGGAAGGGCGAGGAUGGAGCUGCUCAGGGCUGCACUCCGGUCCCAGUCAGGAGCCAGCCCAGGCCAGUCUGUCCUGCAGCUGCGGGGUCUGGGUGACCCAGGCCCCGUCUCAGCCACCUCCUAGGCGACGGGUGCCCAGCCAGCACCAGGCGCUGUGCCCCGGGUAGAGGUGCCGGGCUGUGCACUGCCCGAAGCAGAGCUGCCUGGCCCUGGCUGUCUGCCUCCUCCGCUGCCCAGACACAUUUGGCUCAGGUCCUGCCCGCUCCCACCCCUCGGCGGCAGGGCCAGUCACCCUUGAUAAUGACGAUGCUUCACCAAAGGAGCCGGAACUGCAGAUGCCCCUGGUUUUGUUUGUGCAUCUGUGGAGCUGGGGGUGAAACCAGGCCCUGUGCAUGCUGGGCAAGUGCUCUGCCCCGGGCUGCACCCCGGGCCGUGCAGGCUGUCAGCCUGCCUGUGAUGUCACUGCCCUGCCACCACACACCACACUUGCGUGAAUGCCCGUAGCAGGGUCUGACGCAGAAGCAGAGGUCAAGGGAAGCUUCUUGGGAAGGUGACACUGGAGGAGGGGAUACAAGGACCUCUGAGGCCAAGGCCAGUGGGUGCAGGGUCACCUGAAGUCCAGGGUGGGGUCCGGCCGGAAGGAGCAGGAGCUCCCAGAUUCCAGUUUCCCGGAGGGCAGGUGUGCACUGGAGGACAGGAGGCUGCAGCAUGGGAGUGGGGAGCAGGGACAGUGGGGACAGGACCAGCAUGGCAGGGGACCUGGUCCUGUGGACAGGGGCCUGAGGGCUCUGACAGCAUGCUCGGGUGUGGGUGUUAUAGACUGGGGUCUCAGCCUUGGGACCUCAGAUUGGAGGCAGGGGAAGUAGGGCCAGGGGAGACCAGUCUGGAAGUGGUGACAGCGCCAGGCAGGAAACAGUGAGUUUGGGGCAGAGGUGGUGGUGGAGAGGGGCAGCGAGGUACAGAAUCUGCGUGAGUCAGGAAGGACACAGGCCUUGUGCUCGCCUCACGACCACACUCGGAUGCACAGCUCUCACACCAGGGGAGGCACUGGGAAGCCAGACCACCACAGAGCCCAUCAGGGACCCCACCACGGGGCCUACCACAGAGCCCUGCUGCCUGCCAUCAGACAGUAGGAGCGCAGGAGGCCACGGAGGGUAUGCUGGGGUAUUGACCCUCUUCCUUCCUUGUCCCUCAGCGAGGUCACCUCAGGCCAGUGUCCCCCUCAGAGGCCAUGGCUCCUCUCCCAGUGACCACGGCCACGGGGUCCUCCAUCGGUGUCCUGCCCACCCCUCUUCCUUGUCCCUAUGUUGCUGUUUCCUGCCCUCCUGGGGCUCCAUUCCCCCCACCGCUUGUGGGGUGCACAACUCCAGGUGGCCCACACCCAGAGUGGCCCAUCUGCAGCCCACCUAGCCACUGCCACUUGUCCAGGCCUGGCUGAGCUUCUGGAGGCAUGUACCAGGCAUUGCAGGACGACCCCAGGCAGGGAGCCCGCCCCCCUCCCAGCCACGGGCACCACAGGGGGCAUGUGGUAAACAUGCAGAUCCCCGGGCAUGGCCAGGGCACAGCGCAUCAGCACCCCUGGGCCAGGCACUCAGGGAGCCUGUGCCACGGCCUACUGUGGGCUGAGCCCCGGGCUGUGGCGUAUUCUGUGCAAAGCGGGACAG